GGAUUGUGGCUCAGUGGUAGAGCACUUGUCUAGCAUGCAUGAGGCACUGGGUUCGAUCCCCAGCACCA
This 68-nucleotide transfer RNA is filed under the name Marmota monax (woodchuck). RNAcentral's name for it is "tRNA.Ala". The stretch from base 5 to 65 matches the Rfam family "tRNA", at positions 6 to 65 of the family's 71-position model. From Rfam's summary of the family: Transfer RNA (tRNA) molecules are approximately 80 nucleotides in length. Their secondary structure includes four short double-helical elements and three loops (D, anti-codon, and T loops). Further hydrogen bonds mediate the characteristic L-shaped molecular structure. tRNAs have two regions of fundamental functional importance: the anti-codon, which is responsible for specific mRNA codon recognition, and the 3' end, to which the tRNAs corresponding amino acid is attached (by aminoacyl-tRNA synthetases). tRNAs cope with the degeneracy of the genetic code in two manners: having more than one tRNA (with a specific anti-codon) for a particular amino acid; and 'wobble' base-pairing, i.e. permitting non-standard base-pairing at the 3rd anti-codon position. Lineage: Eukaryota; Metazoa; Chordata; Mammalia; Rodentia; Sciuridae. The record is from RNAcentral.